RNAcentral lists this ribosomal RNA (492 nucleotides) under uncultured bacterium. RNAcentral describes it as "partial 16S ribosomal RNA". It matches the Rfam family "Bacterial small subunit ribosomal RNA", at positions 29 to 507 of the family's 1533-position model. The record is from RNAcentral.
AGUGAACGCUGGCGGUAGGCCUAAUACAUGCAAGUCGAACGGCCGCACAGGAAGAUCUUGCUCUUGCUGUUGGCGGCGGGCGGACGGGUGAGGAAUGCAUCAGAAUCUUCUUUUUCGGGGGGAAUAACGGGGGGAAGCUGACACUAACACCUCAUACUAUCUACGGCUGAGAGCAGAGGCGAAUCGGGGCCUGGGCGUUAGUAAUAGCCGAUGCCGGAUUAGCUAGUUGGCGGGGUAAGGGCCCACCAAGGCGACGAUCCGUAGCUGGUCUGAGAGGAUGAUCAGCCACACUGGAACUGAGACACGGUCCAGACUCCUACGGGAGGCAGCAGUGGGGAAUAUUGGACAAUGGGCGCAAGCCUGAUCCAGCCAUACCGCGUGGGUGAAGAAGGCCUUCGGGUUGUAAAGCCCUUUUGUUGGGAAAGAAAAGAAGCAGGUUAAUACCCGGAUGUUCUGACGGUACCCAAAGAAUAAGCACCGGCUAACUUCGUG